RNAcentral lists this ribosomal RNA (257 nucleotides) under uncultured bacterium. RNAcentral's name for it is "partial 16S ribosomal RNA". It matches the Rfam family "Bacterial small subunit ribosomal RNA", at positions 793 to 1055 of the family's 1533-position model. The record is from RNAcentral.
GUCCACGCCGUAAACGAUGCUAACUCGUUUUUGGAUUUUCGGAUUCAGAGACCAAGCGAAAGUGAUAAGUUAGCCACCUGGGGAGUACGUCCGCAAGGAUGAAACUCAAAGGAAUUGACGGGGGCCCGCACAAGCGGUGGAUUAUGUGGUUUAAUUCGAUGAUACGCGAGGAACCUUACCAAGACUUAAAUGGGAAUUGACAGGUCUAGAAAUAGACCCUCCUUCGGGCAAUUUCCAAGGUGCUGCAUGGUUGUCGU